This is a long non-coding RNA of Drosophila ficusphila, 907 nucleotides long. RefSeq lists it as uncharacterized. The transcript has 2 exons. The record is from RefSeq and is a predicted model, not a curated record. NCBI's taxonomy places the organism in Eukaryota, Metazoa, Arthropoda, Insecta, Diptera, Drosophilidae.
GCAACACUAAUUUGAAAUGAGUUCUUUAUGGAACACAACCACUUUAGAUUUGUGUCCGUUUUUCAAUUUCAGAGUCUCGCAUAUUAGUCAGCCUGGCAGGAGCAGCAGCAGCAGCAACAGCAACAGCAGCAGCAAAAGCAGCAGCAAAAGCAGCAGCAACACCAGACACAGCAGCAACAUAAAGCGCAGCUCCCAUGACUCAUUUCGCCUGAUGCGCGCGACAUUAAGAGACAAGACUGAGGCAUACACAAAAAAAAGUAGACAAAACAACGGCUGCGAACCCAAACACUCACUUGACUUGAAAAUCUGCAGAGGAAUAACUGACAGUGUACACAAGCAGCACUAAUUGCUGUAAAAUUGCAAACGGACUGGGGGAAAAAUCGGCAGACAUAGAACAACAGGAGAACACAAAAAUCACAGCAGCUACAACUGGCCGUGUGUUUUAAAAAAAUCUUAACGGAAUGAAUGCAACAAACGAACGAAUGUGCAACGAAACAAGCAACAGCAGCAGCAGCAGGAGCAACAUGAAGCCGCAACAGCAACACAAGCUGCAAACAACUCAAUUAACACAAACAACCAGGCAGCGAAUCGCGCAAAAGUUGCUGUUGCCGUUGGGUUUUCGCCCAGCCGACCGCGCCCCCCAACUCCAGGGACGCCCUUUUCCCCCCUUCAGCCCCCUUUGAGCCUCAUUUUCUGGACACUUUUCGGACUGUUCCUGUUCCCAGCGGCCCCUCGGCAAUGCAAAUGUAUGCAACUUGGUUUUGUGGCAGGCAACAUAUCUUCUUUCAUUUAAAUUAAAAUGGGUACAAGCAGCAUAAUUAAAUCUGAAAUCAUAUUUAAUUUAGAAUAAUAUCUAAGUUCUUAAUUUCAACUAUAUGAAGAAACUAAACUACCAUUUAUUUUUUCA